Molecule: unclassified non-coding RNA, 359 nt
Filed under: soil metagenome
Description: partial contains 5.8S ribosomal RNA, internal transcribed spacer 2, and large subunit ribosomal RNA
Rfam family: 5.8S ribosomal RNA (bases 1-121)
Source: RNAcentral
GAUGAAGAACGUAGCGAAAUGCGAUAAGUAAUGCGAAUUGCAGAAUUUCCGUGAAUCAUCGAAUCUUUGAACGCACAUUGCGCCCGCCAGUAUUCUGGCGGGCAUGCCUGUCCGAGCGUCAUUUCAACCCUCGAACCCCUCCGGGGGGUCGGCGUUGGGGACCUCGGGAGCCCCUAAGACGGGAUCCCGGCCCCGAAAUACAGUGGCGGUCUCGCCGCAGCCUCUCCUGCGCAGUAGUUUGCACAACUCGCACCGGGAGCGCGGCGCGUCCACGUCCGUAAAACACCCAACUUCUGAAAUGUUGACCUCGGAUCAGGUAGGAAUACCCGCUGAACUUAAGCAUAUCAAUAAGCGGAGGA